GAUGAACGCUGGCGGCGUGCCUAAUACAUGCAAGCCGAGCGAACGGACGGGAAGCUUGCUUUUCUGAUGUUAGCGGCGGACGGGUGAGUAACACGUGGAUAACCUACCUAUAAGACUGGGAUAACUUCGGGAAACCGGAGCUAAUACCGGAUAAUAUUUUGAACCGCAUGGUUCAAAAGUGAAAGACGGUCUUGCUGUCACUUAUAGAUGGAUCCGCGCUGCAUUAGCUAGUUGGUAAGGUAACGGCUUACCAAGGCAACGAUGCAUAGCCGACCUGAGAGGGUGAUCGGCCACACUGGAACUGAGACACGGUCCAGACUCCUACGGGAGGCAGCAGUAGGGAAUCUUCCGCAAUGGGCGAAAGCCUGACGGAGCAACGCCGCGUGAGUGAUGAAGGUCUUCGGAUCGUAAAACUCUGUUAUUAGGGAAGAACAUAUGUGUAAGUAACUGUGCACAUCUUGACGGUACCUAAUCAGAAAGCCACGGCUAACUACGUG
This 497-nucleotide ribosomal RNA is filed under the name uncultured bacterium. Its description in RNAcentral is "partial 16S ribosomal RNA". It matches the Rfam family "Bacterial small subunit ribosomal RNA", at positions 28 to 507 of the family's 1533-position model. The record is from RNAcentral.